Molecule: long non-coding RNA, 597 nt
Filed under: Saimiri boliviensis boliviensis (Bolivian squirrel monkey)
Lineage: Eukaryota; Metazoa; Chordata; Mammalia; Primates; Cebidae
Description: lncRNA (ENSSBOG00000036459.1)
Source: RNAcentral
UGCUCCCAGCGCUGCAAGCGUUUAUCCAAAAAAUAAUCUCACCAUUAUUUUUGGAAAAAGAAGGAUCAAAAAGAAAAAGGGAGUAGACCAAAGUUUUCCUUCACCAAAGAAUGAAGAACAUAGUCUAAAGGGAUUUCCCAAGUGGCAGAACUUUACAGCUGGCAGAAACUUUAAAGACCAUGUGGUCAAACCUCACAGAGUUUCAGAAAGAAAACAAAAGCUGUGGCUUUGGGCAGCAUAGUGACUGGCAGGACAGAGGCCACUUCCACCCUUCCACAUCUCAACCUUCUCCACCGGCUCCUGGAGCUGAUUCCUUCUCCACUACAGCCCGUGUCUACCUUUGUGCCUGUGACCAGAAUCGUGGCAAGCAACAAAUCCAAGCAGAUGCUCCUGGCCGGCAGCCACACAUGGCAUCGAGCUGCGCCUUGGCUGGAGCCCUCCCCACCCUGGGAGGCCCAGAGAGCUGGCCCUCAUGCACCAGCUGACCCUUCCGUCCGGCGUGUCCCAGAAUGCACAGUCACUGGCGUGAGCUCUCCCCAGCCCUCCGCACCAGAGGUGGCUCCUCCUUCUCUGUCCUGGGAAAUAAAACAAUGGUAA